UACAGAGGGGGCAAGCGUUGUUCGGAAUUAUUGGGCGUAAAGGGCGCGUAGGCGGUGCGGUAAGUCACCUGUGAAAUCUCUGGGCUCAACUCAGAGUCUGCAGGCGAAACUGCCGUGCUUGAGUGUGGGAGAGGUGAGUGGAAUUCAUGGUGUAGCAGUGAAAUGCGUAGAGAUCAUGAGGAAGACCAGUGGCGAAGGCGGGUCUCUGGACAGUUCCUGACACUGAGGCACGAAGGCCAGGGGAGCAAACGGG
This 253-nucleotide ribosomal RNA is filed under the name uncultured bacterium. Its description in RNAcentral is "partial 16S ribosomal RNA". It matches the Rfam family "Bacterial small subunit ribosomal RNA", at positions 524 to 776 of the family's 1533-position model. The record is from RNAcentral.